RNAcentral lists this ribosomal RNA (632 nucleotides) under uncultured bacterium. Its description in RNAcentral is "bacterial SSU rRNA". It matches the Rfam family "Bacterial small subunit ribosomal RNA", at positions 185 to 804 of the family's 1533-position model. The record is from RNAcentral.
AUCGCAUGAUUCUUAGAUGAAAGAUGGUUCUGCUAUCGCUUUUAGAUGGACCCGCGGCGUAUUAACUAGUUGGUGGGGUAACGGCCUACCAAGGUGAUGAUACGUAGCCGAACUGAGAGGUUGAUCGGCCACAUUGGGACUGAGACACGGCCCAAACUCCUACGGGAGGCAGCAGUAGGGAAUCUUCCACAAUGGACGCAAGUCUGAUGGAGCAACGCCGCGUGAGUGAAGAAGGUCUUCGGAUCGUAAAACUCUGUUGUUAGAGAAGAACACGAGUGAGAGUAACUGUUCAUUCGAUGACGGUAUCUAACCAGCAAGUCACGGCUAACUACGUGCCAGCAGCCGCGGUAAUACGUAGGUGGCAAGCGUUGUCCGGAUUUAUUGGGCGUAAAGGGAACGCAGGCGGUCUUUUAAGUCUGAUGUGAAAGCCUUCGGCUUAACCGGAGUAGUGCAUUGGAAACUGGAAGACUUGAGUGCAGAAGAGGAGAGUGGAACUCCAUGUGUAGCGGUGAAAUGCGUAGAUAUAUGGGAGAACACCAGUGGCGAAAGCGGCUCUCUGGUCUGUAACUGACGCUGAGGUUCGAAAGCGUGGGUAGCAAACAGGAUUAGAUACCCUGGUAGUCCACGCCGUA